This 609-nucleotide ribosomal RNA is filed under the name uncultured bacterium. RNAcentral's name for it is "bacterial SSU rRNA". It matches the Rfam family "Bacterial small subunit ribosomal RNA", at positions 338 to 947 of the family's 1533-position model. The record is from RNAcentral.
CCUACGGGAGGCAGCAGUGAGGAAUAUUGGUCAAUGGGCGCAAGCCUGAACCAGCCAUGCCGCGUGCAGGACGACGCAUCUAUGGUGUGUAAACUGCUUUUGUACGGGAAGAAACCCUGCCACGUGUGGCAGAUUGACGGUACCGUAAGAAUAAGGAUCGGCUAACUCCGUGCCAGCAGCCGCGGUAAUACGGAGGAUCCAAGCGUUAUCCGGAAUCAUUGGGUUUAAAGGGUCCGUAGGCGGUUUUAUAAGUCAGUGGUGAAAUCCGGCAGCUCAACUGUCGAACUGCCAUUGAUACUGUAGGACUUGAAUUAUUGUGAAGUAACUAGAAUAUGUAGUGUAGCGGUGAAAUGCUUAGAUAUUACAUGGAAUACCCAUUGCGAAGGCAGGUUACUAACAAUAUAUUGACGCUGAUGGACGAAAGCGUGGGGAGCGAACAGGAUUAGAUACCCUGGUAGUCCACGCCGUAAACGAUGGACACUAGCUGUUCGGAUGCAAAUCUGAGUGGCUAAGCGAAAGUGAUAAGUAUCCCACCUGGGGAGUACGAACGCAAGUUUGAAACUCAAAUGAAUUGACGGCUGAGAGNGCGAGGAGACGACGAGGGAGAGG